UACGGAGGGUGCAAGCGUUAUCCGGAUUCACUGGGUUUAAAGGGUGCGUAGGCGGGCUUGUAAGUCAGUGGUGAAAGCCCGGGGCUUAACUCCGGAAUUGCCAUUGAUACUGCAAGCCUUGAGUACAGUUGAGGUGGGCGGAAUACAUCAUGUAGAGGUGAAAUUCUUAGAGAUGAUGUAGAACACCAAUUGCGAAGGCAGCUCACUAAAGUGUAACUGACGCUGAGGCACUAAAGCAUGGGGAUCAAACAGG
RNAcentral lists this ribosomal RNA (253 nucleotides) under uncultured bacterium. RNAcentral's name for it is "partial 16S ribosomal RNA". It matches the Rfam family "Bacterial small subunit ribosomal RNA", at positions 524 to 776 of the family's 1533-position model. The record is from RNAcentral.